UUUAUAAAUAUCCAUAAUGUCUUUUCUCUGCCUUCCUCUUCCCAUAACAGAAUCCAUGACCUUCCCUUUAGUGUCAUGGUUAUAAGCAUGGACUUUAGGACCAGGCUUCCCUGGAUUCAAAUCUUCCUUCAGCCACUUACUACGAGUUGGAAGACUUGGAGAAACCCCACAGAGCUCUCUUGCCUCCAUAUGAGGACACCGUGAGAAGAUGGCUGCCACUGAACUAGAAAGCAGGUCCUCACCAGGCAUGAUAUUGGCUAACAUCCUACCCUUGGAUUUCUGAAUCUCCACAGCUAUUGAGAGAUAAGUUUGGGUGGGUGUUUUUAAGCCAC
Molecule: long non-coding RNA, 332 nt
Filed under: Mustela putorius furo (domestic ferret)
Lineage: Eukaryota; Metazoa; Chordata; Mammalia; Carnivora; Mustelidae
Description: lncRNA (ENSMPUG00000028981.1)
Source: RNAcentral